This 458-nucleotide ribosomal RNA is filed under the name uncultured Caldisericum sp. Its description in RNAcentral is "bacterial SSU rRNA". It matches the Rfam family "Bacterial small subunit ribosomal RNA", at positions 933 to 1382 of the family's 1533-position model. Lineage: Bacteria; Pseudomonadati; Caldisericota; Caldisericia; Caldisericales; Caldisericaceae. The record is from RNAcentral.
CGAGGUAUGUGGUUUAAUUCGACGCUACGCGAAGAACCUUACCUGGGCUUGACAUGCUUGAGAAAGAGCCAAGAAACUGGCUCCCCCAUGACCGCAAGGUCAUGGCUCAUCCACAGGUGCUGCAUGGUUGUCGUCAGCUCGUGUCGUGAGAUGUAAGGUUAAGUCCUUGAACGAGCGCAACCCCUGUCGCUAGUUGCUAACCCGCAAGGGUGCACCCUAGCGAUACUGCCAGCUAAAAGUUGGAGGAAGGAGGGAUGACGUCAAAUCCUCAUGGCCUUUAUGUCCAGGGCUACACACAUGCGACAAUGGUCGGUACAACGGGUCGCAACACCGCGAGGUGAAGCCAAUCCCUAAAAACCGACCUCAGUUCAGAUUGCAGGCUGCAAUUCGCCUGCAUGAAGUCGGAAUCGCUAGUAAUCGCAGGUCAGCAUACUGCGGUGAAUACGUUCCCGGGCCUU